UUGGAGGGCAAGUCUGGUGCCAGCAGCCGCGGUAAUUCCAGCUCCAAUAGCGUAUAUUAAAGUUGUUGCAGUUAAAAAGCUCGUAGUUGAAAUUCGAAAUUUGUCCUAUGGUCGGGCUUUACGGUCCGUACAGUAGUGGCGAAUUUCUACCUUCUGAAGAACCUUCAUGUCAUUAAUUUGGUGUGUUGGGAAAUCAGGACUGUUACUUUGAAAAAAUUAGAGUGUUUAAAGCAGGCUUAAGUCUGAAUACAUUAGCAUGGAAUAAUGAAAUAGGACGGAUUGGUUCUAUUUUGUUGGUUUCUAGGAUCACCGUAAUGAUUAAUAGGGAUAGUUGGGGGCAUUAGUAUUCAAUUGUCAGAGGUGAAAUUCUUGGAUUUAUUGAAGACUAACUUCUGCGAAAGCAUUUGCCAAGGAUGUUUUCAUUAAUCAAGAACGAAAGUUAGGGGAUCGAAGACGAUCAGAUACCGUCGUAGUCUUAACCAUAAACUAUGCCGACUAGGGAUCGGACGAAGUUAAUUUUUAGAUGACUCGUUCGGCGCCUUACGGGAAAC
RNAcentral lists this ribosomal RNA (551 nucleotides) under uncultured Entrophospora. RNAcentral's name for it is "SSU rRNA". It matches the Rfam family "Eukaryotic small subunit ribosomal RNA", at positions 548 to 1098 of the family's 1831-position model. The record is from RNAcentral. Lineage: Eukaryota; Fungi; Glomeromycota; Glomeromycetes; Entrophosporales; Entrophosporaceae.